Molecule: unclassified non-coding RNA, 324 nt
Filed under: soil metagenome
Description: partial contains 5.8S ribosomal RNA, internal transcribed spacer 2, and large subunit ribosomal RNA
Rfam family: 5.8S ribosomal RNA (bases 1-120)
Source: RNAcentral
GAUGAAGAACGUAGCGAAAUGCGAUAAGUAAUGUGAAUUGCAGAAUUCAGUGAAUCAUCGAAUCUUUGAACGCACAUUGCGCCCCUUGGUAUUCCGGGGGGCAUGCCUGUUCGAGCGUCAUUAUAACCCUCAAGCCUAGCUUGGUGUUGGAGCAUGCUACCUAAGCAGCUCUUAAAAUCAGUGGCAGUGCCCUUCGGCUCUAAGCGUAGUAACUUCUCUCGCUAUGGAACCCGGAGGGUACGCGCCAGAACCCCCAACUUUCUAUGGUUGACCUCGGAUCAGGUAGGGAUACCCGCUGAACUUAAGCAUAUCAUAAGCGGAGGA